This 519-nucleotide ribosomal RNA is filed under the name Scincella reevesii. RNAcentral's name for it is "partial 12S ribosomal RNA". It matches the Rfam family "Bacterial small subunit ribosomal RNA", at positions 776 to 1522 of the family's 1533-position model. The record is from RNAcentral. Lineage: Eukaryota; Metazoa; Chordata; Lepidosauria; Squamata; Scincidae.
GAUUAGAUACCCCACUAUGCCUAGCCCUAAACACUGACCACAUACGCACAACACAAUCCGCCAGAGAACUACAAGCGAAAAGCUAAAAACUCCAAGGACUUGGCGGUGCCUUAAACCAACCUAGAGGAGCCUGUCCUAUAAUCGAUACCCCACGUUAAACCUUACCCCUCUUAGCCAAACAGCCUAUAUACCGCCGUCGCCAGCCUACCUUAUGAAAGAAAUAAAGUAAGCAAAAUAGUUAACAACUAACACGUCAGGUCAAGGUGUAGCACACGGAGGGGGCAGAGAUGGGCUACACUAUCAAUGAACGAAGAUACGAACAACAUGCUGAAACACAUGUUUGAAGGUGGAUUUAGUAGUAAGAUGUGUAAGAAAAGCCAUUUUAAACCUGCUCUAAGGCGCGCACACACCGCCCGUCACCCUCAUCACAUGCGCACACCACACAAACAUAUAUUUAAAACGCAACCCAGAUGAGGCAAGUCGUAACAUGGUAAGCGCACUGGAAAGUACGCUUGGAAU